GCCUACCAUGGUGGUAACGGGUAACGGGGAAUUAGGGUUCGAUUCCGGAGAGGGAGCCUGAGAAACGGCUACCACAUCCAAGGAUGGCAGCAGGCGCGCAAAUUACCCAAUCCCGACACGGGGAGGUAGUGACAAUAAAUAACAAUACGGGGUUCUUUAGGAUCUCGUAAUUGGAAUGAGUACAAUUUAAAUCUCUUAACGAGGAACAAUUGGAGGGCAAGUCUGGUGCCAGCAGCCGCGGUAAUUCCAGCUCCAAUAGCGUAUAUUAAAGUUGUUGCAGUUAAAAAACUCGUAGUUGAAUUUCGGGGUCAGUAGGUCGGUCGUGCCACUGGUAUGAACUGGUUUUACUGAUUCCUCCCUCUUGAAGAACUGUAAUGCCAUUAAUUUGGUGUUGCAGGGAAUCAGGACUGUUACUUUGAAAAAAUUAGAGUGUUUAAAGCAGGCUUUAGCUUGAAUACAUUAGCAUGGAAUAAUGAAAUAGGACGUUUGAUCCUAUUUUGUUGGUUUCUAGGAUUGACGUAAUGAUUAAUAGGGAUAGUUGGGGGCAUUAGUAUUCAAUUGUCAGAGGUGAAAUUCUUGGAUUUAUUGAAGACUAACUACUGCGAAAGCAUUUGCCAAGGAUGUUUUCAUUAAUCAAGAACGAAAGUUAGGGGAUCGAAGACGAUCAGAUACCGUCGUA
Molecule: ribosomal RNA, 679 nt
Filed under: uncultured Glomus
Lineage: Eukaryota; Fungi; Glomeromycota; Glomeromycetes; Glomerales; Glomeraceae
Description: SSU rRNA
Rfam family: Eukaryotic small subunit ribosomal RNA
Source: RNAcentral